CAAUAGCGUAUAUUUAAGUUGUUGCAGUUAAAAAGCUCGUAGUUGGAUUUCGGGUGGGACGCAGCGGUCUCGCAUUGCGUUUGUACUGCUGCAGCCCUCCUUCUUGCCGGGGGCGGCCUCUCGGACUUCACUGUCUGGGGGUCAGAAUCGGCGAUGUUACUUUGAGUAAAUUAGAGUGUUCAAAGCAAGCUUACGCUCUGAAUAUAAUAGCAUGGGAUAACACGACAGGACUCUGGCCUAUCGUGUUGGUCUAUAGGACCAGAGUAAUGAUUAAGAGGGACAGUCGGGGGCAUUCGUAUUCCAUUGUCAGAGGUGAAAUUCUUAGAUUUAUGGAAGACGAACAUCUGCGAAAGCAUUUGCCAAGGAUGUUUUCAUUGA
Molecule: ribosomal RNA, 378 nt
Filed under: uncultured eukaryote
Lineage: Eukaryota
Description: partial 18S ribosomal RNA
Rfam family: Eukaryotic small subunit ribosomal RNA
Source: RNAcentral